Molecule: long non-coding RNA, 2009 nt
Organism: Phyllopteryx taeniolatus (common seadragon)
Lineage: Eukaryota; Metazoa; Chordata; Actinopteri; Syngnathiformes; Syngnathidae
Exons: 2
Source: RefSeq, a predicted model, not a curated record
CUUAUAAAAACAUUCAGAGAUGACAAUUAUAUAGAUUUAGGAAUACUUCAACAUUUUUGUAAUAGCUUCUCCGUCAAUCCACAUUGUACUGCUCAUUCUGGUGUGGGCGCAUAAGACGGGUACAGUGUUCCCUUGUUUAUCGCGGGGGUUACAUUCCAAAAAUAAACCGCGAUAGGUGAAAUGCGCCAAGUAGGAAACUAUUUUUUGACAAUUAUUAUAUACUAUGUGGGGGCACGUGAAUGACUGGUUAGCACAACUGCCUCACAGUUCUGACGACUGGGGUUCAAAUCCCGGCACGCCUGUGUGGAGUUUGCAUGUUCUCCCCAUGCCCGGGUGUGAAUGGUUGUUUGUUCGUAUGUGCCCUGCGAUUGGCUGGUUCAGGGUGUACCUCUCGCCCGAAGAUGGCUGGGCUAGGCUCCAGCACGCCCGCGACCCUUGUGAGGAUAAAGCGGUACGGACAAUGGAUGGACAUUAUACUGUAUUUUCUCACAUUUCUAUCUUGUUUAAACACGCUCAAAGUUCAAACCUCUGUAAGAAAAAUAAGUUCAUUAUUAUUAUUACUAUUGUUGUUGUACUUAUUAUUAUUAUUGUUGUUAAUAUUAUUGUAUAACGAAACAAAAGUCAAAACCUGUCUUAAGGCCCAAACAUUUGUUUAAGAAAUAAAAAUGUAAACAUUUUCUGACAAAUAAUGACAAUUUUUAGAAAUAACGAAUUUAAUUUUAAUGCACAACGUAUGAGGUUGGAAAUGCAAGUUAUCGUUAAUUGUGACUCGCGCGUAUUUCACGCUUUCUCUGACUGUCCUCUUGUUACUUUCCUCCUUUUUAAUGUAACGCACCUAAGAUGAAUUCAUUCCGAAAUGGCGCCCAAGAGCCGUGUAACUUCUACAUUCCUUGAUCAUGUCCAGAAGUCUCACUUUUUCUGCGAUAGUUCGCUAACAAACGGUUAAUGUCGGUGUAAUAAUGUCAAAAUAGAGCUUUCCACGGAAGCGUUUGCUAGGCGUUAUAACACCACAGAUGUGAUCAGCAGCUGCUACGUUUAUGAAGGAAGACUGAGGUAGGUGCGAUAUCAUCGCGCGGUACUUUUUCUAAACAAGUCAACAAAGGGCAAUGCAAUCAGAAUGGCUCCGAAGAAACGGGAUACUGCUUAAAAUUAUGUUAAGUAACACUUUUAUUAGUUUUUUUCCUCCUUGUUUUAAAUGUUUAGAAGCUGUUUUUUUUUCUUUUGUUUUUAAAUGCUUUUCAUCAUGAAAAGCACAUUGAGUUACCUUGUGUAUGAAAUGCCCUUUAUAAAUAAAGUUGCUUUGUUUUGUGUUCGCUGAGUGGAAAGAUCUGUGCUGUGCAACCAUCAUUGACCGUGUGUCACGCAAUCUUAGUUAGUUUUAUCAUGCUGACCAAAAAAUGAGAAAGCACUUGCCGGUGAUAGCGUGAGCAAGGGACAAAAAAAAAAAUAAAAAAUUUAAAAAAAUCAAUAUACUCAAAAAAAUAUGUGCAGCAAAUUGGCCAACAAAGCAAUUCAUAUUUUAAAUGACAAUGUGACAUCCCACUUUCAGAUUUAUUUAUUUUUUUUCUGUAUGGAAAAAAAGCCAAACAAGUUUCCCUGGAGUGGUUUGUUUUGCCAAAAUCAACCAAUGAAAUUAGAAAGAAACACAAAAGAAAAAAAACAUCUGAAUCAUAAUUUCCGCAUGUUAUUAUGGAAGAAAACUCUUCUUCAAUGAGGAGCUGUAGUCUCCCCUUUCUCCUCCCCAGUUAACAGUUAAACUGUUGUCAUGUUUAUUUCAUAUUUUAUUUCUUUUUAAUAGUGUGUUUUGACUCAUUUCCAGCCACCCAUUUUCUGUGCCGCUUCUCCUCACUAGGGUCGCGGGUGUGCUGGAGGCGGGGUAGGCCCAUCGAAAACUUGUAACUCCUGUCACUGACCUUCUUGGUAUACGCCAUCUGCCAUCACAAGAUGAAGGAUGUUUGGAUACAGAUGCUGGUGCUCAGUUCCCAAAAUGCUGAAUGCCAAACUGGAGC